This 89-nucleotide ribosomal RNA is filed under the name Nonomuraea endophytica. RNAcentral's name for it is "Nonomuraea sp. YIM 65601 Bacterial large subunit ribosomal RNA". It matches the Rfam family "Bacterial large subunit ribosomal RNA", at positions 2836 to 2925 of the family's 2925-position model. The record is from Rfam by way of RNAcentral. Lineage: Bacteria; Bacillati; Actinomycetota; Actinomycetes; Streptosporangiales; Streptosporangiaceae.
CCCCAGAGACGAUGGGGUUGAUAGGCCGGAGGUGGAAGCACGGUAACGUGUGGAGCUGACCGGUACUAAUAGGCCGAGGACUUGACCAC